This 1072-nucleotide ribosomal RNA is filed under the name Rhodotorula mucilaginosa. Its description in RNAcentral is "SSU rRNA". It matches the Rfam family "Eukaryotic small subunit ribosomal RNA", at positions 651 to 1749 of the family's 1831-position model. Lineage: Eukaryota; Fungi; Basidiomycota; Microbotryomycetes; Sporidiobolales; Sporidiobolaceae. The record is from RNAcentral.
CAGCCGGUCCGCCUUCUUGGUGUGUACUUGUUUGACGGAGCCUUACCUCCUGGUGAACGGCGAUGUCCUUUACUGGGUGUCGUCGCAAACCAGGACUUUUACUUUGAAAAAAUUAGAGUGUUCAAAGCAGGCCUUUGCCCGAAUACAUUAGCAUGGAAUAAUAAAAUAGGACGCGCGUUCCCAUUUUGUUGGUUUCUGAGAUCGCCGUAAUGAUUAAUAGGGAUAGUUGGGGGCAUUUGUAUUCCGUCGUCAGAGGUGAAAUUCUUGGAUUGCCGGAAGACAAACUACUGCGAAAGCAUUUGCCAAGGAUGUUUUCAUUGAUCAAGAACGAAGGAAGGGGGAUCGAAAACGAUUAGAUACCGUUGUAGUCUCUUCUGUAAACUAUGCCAAUUGGGGAUCGGUACAGGAUUUUUAAUGACUGUAUCGGCACCCGAAGAGAAAUCUUUAAAUGAGGUUCGGGGGGGAGUAUGGUCGCAAGGCUGAAACUUAAAGGAAUUGACGGAAGGGCACCACCAGGUGUGGAGCCUGCGGCUUAAUUUGACUCAACACGGGGAAACUCACCAGGUCCAGACACAAUAAGGAUUGACAGAUUGAUAGCUCUCUCUUGAUCUUGUGGUUGGUGGUGCAUGGCCGUUCUUAGUUGGUGGAGUGAUUUGUCUGGUUAAUUCCGAUAACGAACGAGACCUUAACCUGCUAAAUAGACCAGCCGGCUUUGGCUAGCUGCUGUCUUCUUAGAGGGACUAUCAGCGUUUAGCUGAUGGAAGUUUGAGGCAAUAACAGGUCUGUGAUGCCCUUAGAUGUUCUGGGCCGCACGCGCGCUACACUGACAGAGCCAGCGAGUCUACCACCUUUGCCGGAAGGCAUGGGUAAUCUUGUGAAACUCUGUCGUGAUGGGGAUAGAACAUUGCAAUUAUUGUUCUUCAACGAGGAAUACCUAGUAAGCGUGAUUCAUCAGAUCGCGUUGAUUACGUCCCUGCCCUUUGUACACACCGCCCGUCGCUACUACCGAUUGAAUGGCUUAGUGAGGCCUCCGGAUUGGCUAUUGGGAGCUCGCGAGAGCACCCGACUGCCG